GGAAUCAUUAAAGAAAUUUAAUAAUUUUGAAAUGGAUUUGUUUGUUUUGGCAAGAGCGUGAGAGCUUUUACUGGGCAAGUAGACAAGAGAUGGAGAGUCCAGCCGGGCCUGCGCUUAAGUGCGCGGUCUUGCUAGGCUUGCAAGUUUCUUUCUUGCUAUUCCAAACAGUGAGAGAUUUCUCUGUUUUUGUUAUAGGACAAUCAAAACCGUUUCAAUACAACACACUGUGGAGUUUUUAUAUCUUUGCAACUUUUUCUUUGGGCUGUCGAGCAAUCGGAGCCCAGAGGUAACAAACACAAACAAUUUUAUUUAUUCAUUAAAUUUUUGUCAAAAACAAGAAUUUUCGUAACUGGAAAUUUUAAAAAUAUUAAAAACUUUCAACAACGGAUCUCUUGGUUCUCGCAUCGAUGAAGAACGCAGCGAAAUGCGAUACGUAAUGUGAAUUGCAGAAUUCCGUGAAUCAUCGAAUCUUUGAACGCACAUUGCGCCCCUUGGUAUUCCAGGGGGCAUGCCUGUUUGAGCGUCAUUUCCUUCUCAAACAUUCUGUUUGGUAGUGAGUGAUACUCUUUGGAGUUAACUUGAAAUUGCUGGCCUUUUCAUUGGAUGUUUUUUUUCCAAAGAGAGGUUUCUCUGCGUGCUUGAGGUAUAAUGCAAGUACGGUCGUUUUAGGUUUUACCAACUGCGGCUAAUCUUUUUUGUACUGAGCGUAUUGGAACGUUAUCGAUAAGAAGAGAGCGUCUAGGCGAACAAUAUUCUUAAAGUUUGACCUCAAAUCAGGUAGGAGUACCCGCUGAACUUAAGCAUAUCAAUAAGCCGGAGGNAAAAGAAACCAACCGGGGAUUGCCUNAGUAACCGGCGAGUGAAGC
Molecule: ribosomal RNA, 866 nt
Filed under: Saccharomyces kudriavzevii
Lineage: Eukaryota; Fungi; Ascomycota; Saccharomycetes; Saccharomycetales; Saccharomycetaceae
Description: eukaryotic LSU rRNA
Rfam family: 5.8S ribosomal RNA (bases 373-526)
Source: RNAcentral